AGUGAUCUGGUGGUCCCGCAUGGAAGGGCCAUCGCUUAACGAAUAAAAGGUACGCUGGGGAUAACAGGCUGAUUUUGUCCGAGAGCUCAUAUCGACGACAAAGUUUGGCACCUCGAUGUCGACUCUUCGCAUCCUGGGGGUGAAGUUGCUCCCAAGGGUUCGGCUGUUCGCCGAUUAAAGCGGAACGUGAGUUGGGUUCAAAACGUCGUGAGACAGUUUGGUCCCUAUCUGCCGUAGGCGUUUGGAAAAUUGAAAGGAGCUGUUCUUAGUACGAGAGGACCAGAAUGGACAUACCUAUGGUGUAUCAGUUGUUUUGCCAGAGGCAUCGCUGAGUAGCUACGUAUGGAAGGGAUAACCGCUGAAAGCAUCUAAGUGGGAAGCCUACCUUAAGAUUAAUUUUCCCCAUUAGGGUCGUAGUAGACUACUACGUUGAUAGGUUGGGUGUGUAAGUGGAGCAAUCCAUUGAGCUAACCAAUACUAAUAACCCGAUUGAUUUCUUUUA
This 502-nucleotide ribosomal RNA is filed under the name Rickettsiales bacterium. RNAcentral describes it as "partial 23S ribosomal RNA". It matches the Rfam family "Bacterial large subunit ribosomal RNA", at positions 2414 to 2925 of the family's 2925-position model. Lineage: Bacteria; Pseudomonadati; Pseudomonadota; Alphaproteobacteria; Rickettsiales. The record is from RNAcentral.